UGCGGUGCUCUCCGCCAGCCGGACCUUUUUAGGCACCAGCUCCAUUCUACCAUUCCACAUCUUGAGGCCUUCCAAAUGAUUACAUCCUCAAUGAGUUUUCCUAGGUGCCAGAAUAAAGCAAAGAAUGAGCAAAACCUGAGACAGCAACAGAUCAUUUUCUGGACUGAUCAAUGUUCUUUAAUCACUCACAAUUUUCUGUCACUGGCAAAUUGUCACCACAAUAUUCCUAGCAAUGAAUUAAAAUAAAUAUCUCAUCAGGAAUGCCUGCAGAUCCUCUGAAUGUAUUUCUGAUAGUUGACUGCACAAAUGUUUUAUUUUUCAAUCCGUUUAACAUGAGCUUGUUUGCCUUGCUUGCUGGUGCUGGAGGAGCACUCUGAAUCCUGAAUACUGAA
Molecule: long non-coding RNA, 392 nt
Filed under: Zonotrichia albicollis (white-throated sparrow)
Lineage: Eukaryota; Metazoa; Chordata; Aves; Passeriformes; Passerellidae
Description: lncRNA (ENSZALG00000016615.1)
Source: RNAcentral